AGCAGCCGCGGUAAUUCCAGCUCCAAUAGCGUAUAUUAAAGUUGUUGCAGUUAAAAAGCUCGUAGUUGAAUUUCGGGGUCAGUAGGCUGGUCGUGCCACAGGUACGUACUGGUCUCACUGAUUCCUCCUUCCUGAUGAACCGUAAUGCCAUUAAUUUGGUGUUGCGGGGAAACUGGACUGUUACUUUGAAAGAAUUAGAGUGUUUAAAGCAGGCUAACGCUUGAAUACAUUAGCAUGGAAUAAUGAAAUAGGACGUUCGAUCCUAUUUUGUUGGUUUCUAGGAUUGACGUAAUGAUUAAUAGGGAUAGUUGGGGGCAUUAGUAUUCAAUUGUCAGAGGUGAAAUUCUUGGAUUUAUUGAAGACUAACUACUGCGAAAGCAUUUGCCAAGGAUGUUUUCAUUAAUCAAGAACGAAAGUUAGGGGAUCGAAGACGAUCAGAUACCGUCGUAG
RNAcentral lists this ribosomal RNA (450 nucleotides) under uncultured Glomeromycotina. RNAcentral's name for it is "SSU rRNA". It matches the Rfam family "Eukaryotic small subunit ribosomal RNA", at positions 569 to 1023 of the family's 1831-position model. The record is from RNAcentral. Lineage: Eukaryota; Fungi; Glomeromycota.